Molecule: ribosomal RNA, 465 nt
Filed under: Vreelandella stevensii
Lineage: Bacteria; Pseudomonadati; Pseudomonadota; Gammaproteobacteria; Oceanospirillales; Halomonadaceae
Description: partial 16S ribosomal RNA
Rfam family: Bacterial small subunit ribosomal RNA
Source: RNAcentral
CCUACGGGAGGCAGCAGUGGGGAAUAUUGGACAAUGGGGGGAACCCUGAUCCAGCCAUGCCGCGUGUGUGAAGAAGGCCCUCGGGUUGUAAAGCACUUUCAGUGAGGAAGAACGCCUGGUGGUUAAUACCCAUCAGGAAAGACAUCACUCACAGAAGAAGCACCGGCUAACUCCGUGCCAGCAGCCGCGGUAAUACGGAGGGUGCGAGCGUUAAUCGGAAUUACUGGGCGUAAAGCGCGCGUAGGUGGCUUGAUAAGCCGGUUGUGAAAGCCCCGGGCUCAACCUGGGAACGGCAUCCGGAACUGUCAAGCUAGAGUGCAGGAGAGGAAGGUAGAAUUCCCGGUGUAGCGGUGAAAUGCGUAGAGAUCGGGAGGAAUACCAGUGGCGAAGGCGGCCUUCUGGACUGACACUGACACUGAUGUGCGAAAGCGUGGGUAGCAAACAGGAUUAGAUACCCUGGUAGUC